UUCCUGGUGAUCCAGUGGCUAAGACUCUGCACUCCCGAUGCAAGGGGCCUAGGUUCGAUCCCUGGUCAGGGAA
RNAcentral lists this transfer RNA (73 nucleotides) under Bos taurus (domestic cattle). It matches the Rfam family "tRNA". From Rfam's summary of the family: Transfer RNA (tRNA) molecules are approximately 80 nucleotides in length. Their secondary structure includes four short double-helical elements and three loops (D, anti-codon, and T loops). The record is from Rfam by way of RNAcentral. RNAcentral also lists the same sequence under 2 other names. Lineage: Eukaryota; Metazoa; Chordata; Mammalia; Artiodactyla; Bovidae.